ACGCUCGACACCUACGGGGGCAGCAGUGGGGAAUAUUGCACAAUGGGGGAAACCCGUGAUGCAGCGACGCCGCGUGAAGGAAGAAGUAUCUCGGUAUGUAAACUUCUAUCAGCAGGGAAGAAAGUGACGGUACCUGACUAAGAAGCCCCGGCUAACUACGUGCCAACAGCCGCGGUAAUCUGAGCGGGCUGGCAAGGC
RNAcentral lists this ribosomal RNA (198 nucleotides) under uncultured bacterium. RNAcentral describes it as "partial 16S ribosomal RNA". It matches the Rfam family "Bacterial small subunit ribosomal RNA", at positions 328 to 539 of the family's 1533-position model. The record is from RNAcentral.